AGAGACUGGAAGGCAUCCCAACACCAGUCAGCCCUGCUUUUUCUCAGCGAAGUUGAUCCAGACCUUCCUCGUACAUUUUAACCCUUUUAACAUACACUUACCAUAUGACCCAGCAGUCCUGCUCCUGAGUAUUUACCCAAGAAAAAUGAAAACAUAGACCCACAUGACGGAUUGG
RNAcentral lists this long non-coding RNA (175 nucleotides) under Mustela putorius furo (domestic ferret). RNAcentral's name for it is "lncRNA (ENSMPUG00000026466.1)". Lineage: Eukaryota; Metazoa; Chordata; Mammalia; Carnivora; Mustelidae. The record is from RNAcentral.